RNAcentral lists this ribosomal RNA (253 nucleotides) under uncultured bacterium. RNAcentral's name for it is "partial 16S ribosomal RNA". It matches the Rfam family "Bacterial small subunit ribosomal RNA", at positions 524 to 776 of the family's 1533-position model. The record is from RNAcentral.
UACAGAGGUGGCAAACGUUGUCCGGAUUUAUUGGGUGUAAAGGGCAUGUAGGUGGUUUUGUAAGUCAAAGGUGAAAUGGCCCGGCUCAACCAGGUCAUUGCCUUUGAAACUGCAGGACUUGAGUACGGAAGAGGAAAGCGGAAUUCCCAGUGUAGCGGUGAAAUGCGUAGAUAUUGGGAGGAACACCGGUGGCGAAGGCGGCUUUCUGGUCCGAAACUGACGCUGAGGCGCGAAAGCUAGGGGAGCACACAGG